GCCGAGAUGGCGAAAUUGGUAUACGCGAAGGACUUAAAAUCCUUUGAGGUUUGUCCCUCGUGUGGGUUCGAGUCCCACUCUCGGCACCA
This 89-nucleotide transfer RNA is filed under the name Candidatus Peregrinibacteria bacterium. RNAcentral's name for it is "tRNA-Leu". It matches the Rfam family "tRNA". Rfam says of the family: Transfer RNA (tRNA) molecules are approximately 80 nucleotides in length. Their secondary structure includes four short double-helical elements and three loops (D, anti-codon, and T loops). Further hydrogen bonds mediate the characteristic L-shaped molecular structure. tRNAs have two regions of fundamental functional importance: the anti-codon, which is responsible for specific mRNA codon recognition, and the 3' end, to which the tRNAs corresponding amino acid is attached (by aminoacyl-tRNA synthetases). tRNAs cope with the degeneracy of the genetic code in two manners: having more than one tRNA (with a specific anti-codon) for a particular amino acid; and 'wobble' base-pairing, i.e. permitting non-standard base-pairing at the 3rd anti-codon position. Lineage: Bacteria; Candidatus Peregrinibacteriota. RNAcentral also lists the same sequence under 1 other name. The record is from RNAcentral.